GUGUUACAGGAUGGAAGAGUGAACCUACAGUUGAAAAACACUGAAAGUGCAUUACCAUUAAGGUAUGAGGUAAAGUAAUAGAGUAUGCAAAUUGUCUAAUGAGAAGUACCAUCUUGUGUGAAUGAAUCCUGUGUAACAGCAAUCCUUUAUAGUUCUGUCACAGCUAGAAGCCUCAAAUAAUUCUGCUUCUCUUGCUAAAGAACAACUUGUCCUUUACGUUCAGAGUGUUGGUGAAGCUGGGUACUUAAAUGGCCCUAAAGAUGUUUCAUUUCGUUGGCAUUGCAGCGAUGAACAUCAUACAUGGACUUUUUAGGAAAGGAUUUUCAGCAUACUGGGAACACAACUAUCAACAAUGCAACAUUCUAGGGGUGCUAUUUUAUCAUUUAAGAGCCUUAUACAAUGAUUUUCAUCUGCAAUUUGUAUGGCCUUUCCCAAGCUUCUGCCAGAAAUUGAAUCUAUAAGUCAUGUAAGUCACAUGAGCAACAAUUGAGAUGCUUAAUGGUGUUUUUCUUUUCUCAGCAUAGGUUAAUAGUAACAUUGGAUCUGAAAAGAUUCUUGGUUGGGGCAAGACACUGAAUAAAUUGUAAUGAUUGAAUGGA
Daphnia carinata is the source of this 599-nucleotide long non-coding RNA. RefSeq lists it as uncharacterized. Lineage: Eukaryota; Metazoa; Arthropoda; Branchiopoda; Diplostraca; Daphniidae. The transcript has 2 exons. The record is from RefSeq and is a predicted model, not a curated record.